GAACGCGUCUUGGUUAUUGAUGUUAGAUGCUUGCAUUUAACUGAUUUAACAUUGAGACGAGUGGCGAACUGGUGAGUAACACGUGGGUAACCUGCCCUUGAAGUAGGGGAUAACACUUGGAAACAGGUGCUAAUACCGUAUAACAACCAAAACCACCUGGUUUUGGUUUAAAAGAUGGCUUCGGCUAUCACUUUAGGAUGGACCCGCGGCGUAUUAGCUUGUUGGUAAGGUAACGGCCUACCAAGGCAAUGAUACGUAGCCGACCUGAGAGGGUAAUCGGCCACAUUGGGACUGAGACACGGCCCAAACUCCUACGGGAGGCAGCAGUAGGGAAUCUUCCACAAUGGACGAAAGUCUGAUGGAGCAACGCCGCGUGAGUGAUGAAGGGUUUCGGCUCGUAAAACUCUGUUGUUGGAGAAGAACAGGUGUGAGAGUAACUGUUCACAUCUUGACGGUAUCCAACCAGAAAGCCACGGCUAACUACGUGCCAGCAGCCGCGGUAAUACGUAGGUGGCAAGCGUUGUCCGGAUUUAUUGGGCGUAAAGCGAGCGCAGGCGGUUUCUUAGGUCUGAUGUGAAAGCCUUCGGCUUAACCGGAGAAGUGCAUCGGAAACCAGGAGACUUGAGUGCAGAAGAGGACAGUGGAACUCCAUGUGUAGCGGUGAAAUGCGUAGAUAUAUGGAAGAACACCAGUGGCGAAGGCGGCUGUCUGGUCUGUAACUGACGCUGAGGCUCGAAAGCAUGGGUAGCGAACAGGAUUAGAUACCCUGGUAGUCCAUGCCGUAAACGAUGAGUGCUAAGUGUUGGAGGGUUUCCGCCCUUCAGUGCUGCAGCUAACGCAUUAAGCACUCCGCCUGGGGAGUACG
RNAcentral lists this ribosomal RNA (865 nucleotides) under uncultured bacterium. RNAcentral's name for it is "bacterial SSU rRNA". It matches the Rfam family "Bacterial small subunit ribosomal RNA", at positions 31 to 884 of the family's 1533-position model. The record is from RNAcentral.